CCCCUCUCAGGGUCACACCUAGAGAAUUUCCAGAACUCUACCACUCUUGGCUACAGGAGGGAGAGUCAAGCAGAGGCCUAUCCAUUCCUUUCCUAGCUUGGCCAGUGGCUAGUGAGUGGAAGGCGAUCUGCUACAAGU
This 138-nucleotide small nucleolar RNA is filed under the name Ornithorhynchus anatinus (platypus). The record is from RNAcentral. Lineage: Eukaryota; Metazoa; Chordata; Mammalia; Monotremata; Ornithorhynchidae.